GUCUAUGGCCAUACCACUCUGAACGCGUCCAAUCUCGUCUGAUUGUGGAAGCUAAGCAGGGUCGGGCCUGGUUAGUCCUUGGAUGGGAGAAAUGCAGAAUCUCAGACC
Cavia porcellus (domestic guinea pig) is the source of this 108-nucleotide ribosomal RNA. The record is from Ensembl. NCBI's taxonomy places the organism in Eukaryota, Metazoa, Chordata, Mammalia, Rodentia, Caviidae.